RNAcentral lists this ribosomal RNA (216 nucleotides) under Glomeromycotina sp. RNAcentral describes it as "partial small subunit ribosomal RNA". The stretch from base 40 to 216 matches the Rfam family "Eukaryotic small subunit ribosomal RNA", at positions 686 to 864 of the family's 1831-position model. The record is from RNAcentral. Lineage: Eukaryota; Fungi; Glomeromycota.
GGGUCAGUAGGUUGGUCGUGCCACCGGUACGUACUGGUCUCACUGAUUCCUCCUUCCUGAAGAACCGUAAUGCCAUUAAUUUGGUGUUGCGGGGAAACAGGACUGUUACUUUGAACAAAUUAGAGUGUUUAAAGCAAGCUAACGCUUGAAUACAUUAGCAUGGAAUAAUGAAAUAGGACGAUCGAUCCUAUUUUGUUGGUGUCUAGGAUUGACGUA